Molecule: ribosomal RNA, 547 nt
Filed under: uncultured archaeon
Lineage: Archaea
Description: bacterial SSU rRNA
Rfam family: Archaeal small subunit ribosomal RNA
Source: RNAcentral
CGGGUGCAGCAGGCGCGAAAACUUUGCAAUGCGGGAAACCGUGACAAGGGAACUCUGAGUGCCCGUAAAAUCGGGCUGUCCAUCGGUUUAAAAAACCGGUGAAGAAAGGGCCGGGCAAGACUGGUGCCAGCCGCCGCGGUAAUACCGGCGGCUCGAGUGGUGGCCACUAUUACUGGGCUUAAAGCGUUCGUAGCUGGUUUGUUAAGUCUCUGGGGAAAUCUUCCGGCUUAACCGGAAGGCGUCUCAGGGAUACUGGCAGACUAGGGACCGGGAGAGGUGAGGGGUACUCCAGGGGUAGGAGUGAAAUCCUGUAAUCCUUGGGGGACCACCUGUGGCGAAGGCGCCUCACCAGAACGGCUCCGACAGUGAGGGACGAAAGCUGGGGGAGCAAACCGGAUUAGAUACCCGGGUAGUCCCAGCUGUAAACGAUGCGCGUUAGGUGUAUCGGUGACCACGAGUCACCGAGGUGCCGAAGAGAAAUCGUGAAACGUGCCGCCUGGGAAGUACGGUCGCAAGGCUGAAACUUAAAGGAAUUGGCGGGGGAGCA